GACGAACGCUGGCGGCGUGCUUAACACAUGCAAGUCGAACGGAAAGGCCCUGCUUUUGUGGGGUGCUCGAGUGGCGAACGGGUGAGUAACACGUGAGUAACCUGCCCUUGACUUUGGGAUAACUUCAGGAAACUGGGGCUAAUACCGGAUAGGAGCUCCUGCUGCAUGGUGGGGGUUGGAAAGUUUCGGCGGUUGUGGAUGGACUCGCGGCUUAUCAGCUUGUUGGUGGGGUAGUGGCUUACAAAGGCUUUGACGGGUAGCCGGCCUGAGAGGGUGACCGGCCACAUUGGGACUGCGGUACGGCCCAGACUCCUACGGGAGGCAGCAGUGGGGAAUCUUGCACAAUGGGCGGAAGCCUGAUGCAGCGACGCCGCGUGCGGGAUGACGGCCUUCGGGUUGUAAACAGCUUUCGCCUGUGACGAAGCGUGAGUGACGGUAAUGGGUAAAGAAGCACCGGCUAACUACGUG
RNAcentral lists this ribosomal RNA (468 nucleotides) under uncultured bacterium. RNAcentral's name for it is "partial 16S ribosomal RNA". It matches the Rfam family "Bacterial small subunit ribosomal RNA", at positions 28 to 507 of the family's 1533-position model. The record is from RNAcentral.